RNAcentral lists this ribosomal RNA (520 nucleotides) under uncultured bacterium. RNAcentral describes it as "bacterial SSU rRNA". It matches the Rfam family "Bacterial small subunit ribosomal RNA", at positions 28 to 530 of the family's 1533-position model. The record is from RNAcentral.
AAUGAACGCUGGCGGCGUGCCUAACACAUGCAAGUCGUGCGCGAAAGGGGCUUCGGCCCCGAGUAGAGCGGCAGACGGGUGAGUAACACGUGGGUAACCUGCCCAGAAGUGGGGGAUAACCUGGGGAAACUCGGGCUAAUACCGCAUACGUUCGCGGGGUUCUGCUCCGCGAGGAAAGCCGGCCUAUGCUUGCAAGCUGGCGCUUUUGGAGGGGCCCGCGGCUGAUUAGCUUGUUGGUGGGGUAAUGGCCUACCAAGGCGACGAUCAGUAGCCGGCCUGAGAGGGUGAACGGCCACACUGGAACUGAGACACGGUCCAGACUCCUACGGGAGGCAGCAGUGGGGAAUAUUGGACAAUGGGCGCAAGCCUGAUCCAGCAACGCCGCGUGGAGGAUGAAGGCCUUCGGUUGUAAACUCCUGUUAGGGGAACGAAGGGUCACGGGUUAACAGCCGGUGACCUUGACGGUACCUCCAGAGGAAGCCCCGGCUAACUCUGUGCCAGCAGCCGCGGUAAACACGAG